GUACACACCGCCCGUCGCUACUACCGACUGAUCGGAUCAGUGAAAUAAAUGGAUCGCUAUCAUCAUGGUGGGUUUCCACUAUGUUGUAUGGGGAGAAGUUUAUUGAACUAAUACGAUUGGAGGAAGUAAAAGUCGUAACAAGGUUACUGUAGGUGAACCUGCAGAAGGAUCA
RNAcentral lists this ribosomal RNA (172 nucleotides) under Tomopteris sp. TOMOP_M01. Its description in RNAcentral is "partial 18S ribosomal RNA". It matches the Rfam family "Eukaryotic small subunit ribosomal RNA", at positions 1662 to 1828 of the family's 1831-position model. The record is from RNAcentral. RNAcentral also lists the same sequence under 1 other name. Lineage: Eukaryota; Metazoa; Annelida; Polychaeta; Phyllodocida; Tomopteridae.